Molecule: transfer RNA, 77 nt
Filed under: Desulfovibrio sp.
Lineage: Bacteria; Pseudomonadati; Thermodesulfobacteriota; Desulfovibrionia; Desulfovibrionales; Desulfovibrionaceae
Also listed under: 9 other names
Description: tRNA-Ile(gat)
Rfam family: tRNA
About the family: Transfer RNA (tRNA) molecules are approximately 80 nucleotides in length. Their secondary structure includes four short double-helical elements and three loops (D, anti-codon, and T loops).
Source: RNAcentral
GGGCCUGUAGCUCAGGUGGUUAGAGCGCACGCCUGAUAAGCGUGAGGUCGAUAGUUCAAGUCUAUCCAGGCCCACCA